UACGUAGGGACCAAGCGUUGUUCGGAUUUACUGGGCGUAAAGGGCGCGUAGGCGGCGAAUCAAGUCAGCUGUGAAAUCUCCGAGCUUAACUCGGAACGGUCAGCUGAUACUGUUUUGCUAGAGUGCAGAAAGGGCAACCGGAAUUCUUGGUGUAGCGGUGAAAUGCGUAGAUAUCAAGAGGAACACCUGAGGCGGAGGCGGGUUGCUAGGCUGACACUGACGCUGAAGCGCGAAAGCUAGGGUAGCAAACGGG
RNAcentral lists this ribosomal RNA (253 nucleotides) under uncultured bacterium. Its description in RNAcentral is "partial 16S ribosomal RNA". It matches the Rfam family "Bacterial small subunit ribosomal RNA", at positions 524 to 776 of the family's 1533-position model. The record is from RNAcentral.